Molecule: ribosomal RNA, 206 nt
Filed under: uncultured bacterium
Lineage: Bacteria
Description: partial 16S ribosomal RNA
Rfam family: Bacterial small subunit ribosomal RNA
Source: RNAcentral
CGCGUAGGUGGUUUGUUAAGUUGGAUGUGAAAGCCCCGGGCUCAACCUGGGUGCUGCAUUCCAAACUGGGAAUCUAGAGUGCAGGAGGGGAGAGUGGAAUUCCUAGUGUAGCAGUGAAAUGCGUAGAGAUUAGGAAGAACACCAGUGGCGAAGGCGACUCUCUGGACUGUAACUGACGCUGAGGCUCGAAAGCGUGGGAGCAAACA